UACGAAGGGGGCUAGCGUUGCUCGGAAUCACUGGGCGUAAAGCGCACGUAGGCGGAUCUUUUAAGUCAGGGGUGAAAUCCCAAGGCUCAACCUUGGAACUGCCUUUGAUACUGGGGAUCUCGAGUCCGGAAGAGGUUGGUGGAACUGCGAGUGUAGAGGUGAAAUUCGUAGAUAUUCGCAAGAACACCAGUGGCGAAGGCGGCCAACUGGUCCGGUACUGACGCUGAGGUGCGAAAGCGUGGGGAGCAAACAGG
This 254-nucleotide ribosomal RNA is filed under the name uncultured bacterium. RNAcentral describes it as "partial 16S ribosomal RNA". It matches the Rfam family "Bacterial small subunit ribosomal RNA", at positions 524 to 776 of the family's 1533-position model. The record is from RNAcentral.